CAUUGAACAUGCCCUGGGAUCAGAACCACCCACAAGUUUCAUUGCUACCAUCAAUGAAGGGAUGACUUGGGCAGCCCUGGUGGCCCAGUGGUUUAGUGCUGCCUUCAGCCCAGGGUGUGAUCCUAGAGACCAGGGAUCAAGUCCCACGUCAGGCUCCCUGCAUGGAGCCUGCUUCUCCCUCUGCCUCUCUCUCUCUCUCUCAUGAAUAAAUAAGUAAAAAUCUUUAAAAACAAAUUAAGGGAUGACUUGAGUCCAGCUCCUUUACUUUCUCAACAGUUUGCUCAUCCACAAAAUGGGGGAAAUGUAUUACUUGUAGAGUUUCUGAGAAGAUGAAAUGACAUAUAAGUGGUUCUCAGUGCAGUGGAACCUAGAGGCAUUUGAUGACACCAAGCGGCCUCUAUCCUGUGCCAGGAACUAGCAAUGCGGAGAUGAAUAAACAACAGCAGAGCCUCUGACAGCAAAGAACUCUCCCAAAUCGAGCUGUUGUAGAGAUUAAAUAAGACAGUGUCUGUAAAGCUCUCUUAAGGCAGGCAAUGAGCACAAUUCCCACAGAAGCUACAACGAAAGCCGGAGGCACUGGCUUCAGUAGAAAUUUUGUUGGAGUAACACGGUUCUGCCAAGUCAUUUUUGAUCAAAGACUUUUCCAUGGCUCCAGCUGCUCAUACAGUGUGCAGUCCUUCUACUGUGUUUCUCCCUUACCUAAAUGUGUAUCUUCAAGCCUGCAUUUCCAAAGGAUUACUUUUGCGUUUAAUUCCUGGCUUAAUGACUGUGUGUUCCCACAGGAUCAAAUACCAUCAUCCAGAGUUAAACUUAGGAGGGAUGAAGUCAGGAUCAGAGUCAUUUUGUUCCUGUUUGUAGUCCUGUUGCCUGGGACAGGAGUUACACUCAAGAAGUGUUUUCUUCGAAUGAAUCAACUGAGAUAAGGUGGGUAGGCAGCACCAGUUGUACAUUCAACUAAAGCAGGUGAUAUUUAACGUUUUAUGGACAAAGUCUUUAUUAGCUGUAAG
This 1007-nucleotide long non-coding RNA is filed under the name Vulpes vulpes (red fox). RNAcentral's name for it is "lncRNA (ENSVVUG00000014046.1)". The record is from RNAcentral. Lineage: Eukaryota; Metazoa; Chordata; Mammalia; Carnivora; Canidae.